Molecule: ribosomal RNA, 253 nt
Filed under: uncultured bacterium
Lineage: Bacteria
Description: partial 16S ribosomal RNA
Rfam family: Bacterial small subunit ribosomal RNA
Source: RNAcentral
UACAGGGGGGGCAAGCGUUGUUCGGAAUUACUGGGCGUAAAGGGUCUGUAGGUGGCUUGCUAAGUCAGACGUGAAAUCCCUCAGCUUAACUGGGGAACUGCGUCUGAGACUGGCGAGCUUGAGGGCAGGAGAGGAACGCGGAAUUCCAGGUGUAGCGGUGAAAUGCGUAGAUAUCUGGAGGAACACCGGUGGCGAAGGCGGCGUUCUGGACUGCAUCUGACACUGAGAGACGAAAGCCAGGGGAGCAAACGGG